Molecule: ribosomal RNA, 491 nt
Filed under: uncultured bacterium
Lineage: Bacteria
Description: partial 16S ribosomal RNA
Rfam family: Bacterial small subunit ribosomal RNA
Source: RNAcentral
AGUGAACGCUGGCGGCAGGCCUAACACAUGCAAGUCGAACGGCAGCACAGUAAGAGCUCGCUCUUACGGGUGGCGAGUGGCGGAUGGGUGAGGAAUACAUCGGAAUCUACUUUUUCUUGGGGGAUAACGUAGGGAAACUUACGCUAUUACCGCAUACGACCUACGGGUGAAAGCAGGGGAUCUUCGGACCUUGCGUGAUUCUAUGAGCUGUUGUCGCAUUAGCUAGUUGGCGGGGUAAAGGCCCACCAAGCCGACGAUCCGUAGCUGGUUUGAGCGGAUGAUCGGCCAACAUGGAACGAGGACAGGUUCCGACCCCCAAGGGGAGGCAGAGUUGGGAAAUUUUGGACAAGGGGCGAAACCCUGAGCCAGCCAUCCCGCGGGGGGAAAAAAGGCCUUCGGUUUGUAAAGCCCUUUAUUUGGGAAGAAAAAGCAGGAAGUUAAUACCCCGCUGUUUGGACGUUACCAAAAAAAUAAGCACCGGCUAACUUCGG